AUUCCAGCUCCAAUAGCGUAUACUAAAGUUGUUGCAGUUAAAAAGCUCGUAGUUGAAUUUCUGGUCGUGAAAAGUGGUCCGUUCCGCAAGGAAUGUGUACUGUCUAUUCAUGUCCAUCCUCGGAGUUAGUGUGUAUUACUUUUAUCGGUCGUGCAUGCAAUACUUCGUCAUUUACUGUGAGCAAAAUAGAGUGUUCAAAGCAGGCUUAUGCCGUUGAAUAUAUUAGCAUGGAAUAAUAAGAUAUGACUUUGGUCUAUUUUGUUGGUUUGCACUCCAAAGUAAUGAUUAAUAGGGAUAGUUGGGGGUAUUCGUAUUCAAUUGUCAGAGGUGAAAUUCUUGGAUUUAUGGAAGACGAACUACUGCGAAAGCAUUUACCAAGGAUGUUUUCAUUA
RNAcentral lists this ribosomal RNA (392 nucleotides) under Chrysophyceae sp. RNAcentral's name for it is "partial small subunit ribosomal RNA". It matches the Rfam family "Eukaryotic small subunit ribosomal RNA", at positions 582 to 975 of the family's 1831-position model. Lineage: Eukaryota; Chrysophyceae. The record is from RNAcentral.